This 253-nucleotide ribosomal RNA is filed under the name uncultured bacterium. Its description in RNAcentral is "partial 16S ribosomal RNA". It matches the Rfam family "Bacterial small subunit ribosomal RNA", at positions 524 to 776 of the family's 1533-position model. The record is from RNAcentral.
UACAUGGGGUGCAAGCGUUAAUCGGAAUUACUGGGCGUAAAGCGUGCGCAGGCGGUUAUGUAAGACAGGGGUGAAAUCCCCGGGCUUAACCUGGGAACUGCAUUUGUGACUGCAUAGCUAGAGUACGGUAGAGGGGGAUGGAAUUCCGCGUGUAGCAGUGAAAUGCGUAGAUAUGCGGAGGAACACCGAUGGCGAAGGCAAUCCCCUGGACCUGUACUGACGCUCAUGCACGAAAGCGUGGGGAGCAAACAGG